This 254-nucleotide ribosomal RNA is filed under the name uncultured bacterium. RNAcentral describes it as "partial 16S ribosomal RNA". It matches the Rfam family "Bacterial small subunit ribosomal RNA", at positions 524 to 776 of the family's 1533-position model. The record is from RNAcentral.
UACAGAGGGUGCGAGCGUUGUUCGGAAUUACUGGGCGUAAAGCGCGCGCAGGCGGCUCUUUAAGUCUGACGGUGAAAUGCCGGGGCUCAACCCCGUGCCCGCCGCGGAUACUGGAGGGCUGGAGACACGUAGAGGCAAGCGGAAUUCCGGGUGUAGCGGUGGAAUGCGUAGAGAUCCGGAAGAACACCGGUGGCGAAGGCGGCUCACUGGCUCAUAUCUGACGCUCAGGCGCGACAGCGUGGGGAUCAAACAGG